Molecule: ribosomal RNA, 251 nt
Filed under: uncultured prokaryote
Description: partial 16S rRNA
Rfam family: Bacterial small subunit ribosomal RNA
Source: RNAcentral
ACGGAGGAUGCAAGCGUUAUCCGGAUUCAUUGGGUUUAAAGGGUGCGCAGGCGGAAUGAUAAGUCAGUGGUGAAAUCCUACGGCUCAACUGUAGAACUGCCAUUGAUACUGUCAUUCUUGAGUACACUUGAAGUGGGCGGAAUGUGUCAUGUAGCGAUGAAAUGAUAAUGUAUGACACGGACCUCCGAUAGCGAAGGCGGCUCAAUAAGGUGUAACUGACGCUCAGUCCCGCAAGCUUGGUGAUCGUACAG